This is a non-coding RNA of Notechis scutatus (mainland tiger snake), 744 nucleotides long. Lineage: Eukaryota; Metazoa; Chordata; Lepidosauria; Squamata; Elapidae. The record is from RefSeq and is a predicted model, not a curated record.
UGCUAUAUCUGUCUAUUUCCAGCCCCAGUGUAACUUGUAUGCCCUGCCUGGAUGCCCAAGGAAUUUUAAUCCAGUUUGCGGAACUGAUGGAGAAACAUAUGCAAAUGAAUGUAUGCUUUGUAUGACAAACAGAGACAAGGACAAGGAUAUACAAAUUGCCUAUAAGAGUACCUGUUCAUGAGAAGAGGUUCAAGAAACAGAAAAAGAAAACCCAAAUUCUGCUGAGAAGUUGAAACCAUACUUUAAAUGUGCCUUUAAAACUGUUUAAAUAAAUGCAAGCUUACAUGCUUUUAUCCAGCUUCUGCAUCUUGCUUACUUCAAAUCUUUUGUUGAAAGAACUUUUUUUUUAAUUUUAUGGUGGGUUUUUGUUUUUAGAUUUAACCCUCAUUUUUUAAAGAAAUCAUUCUCAAACAACAGAAGGUAUAAGUACCGUACGAUCCCUCAGACCAGGCUUAAUUCAACUUGGAUAUGUAGAACUCGGCAACUCUUGGCCUCCAACUAAGGGAUGAAGCCAAGAAAUGCUCCUUUAUGUUUUCUCAGACUGAGGAAAUCAACUUGUGGAACCAAAUGUACUUUCUAGCAAGGAGAAUUUACUCCUCUGAUCAGAAAUGGAACUAAUUUGGUUUUUCAUCUUGUUAUGAUGUUUUUCCUGCAAGGCAGUGCCAUUUGGUCUUUUGGCAUCCCUUGUUAACAUGCAAUAUUCUCACUGGCUUGUACAGCUAUUUAUAUGAACACACACAAGCA